CGCAGACCGGUCUGAGUGUCCAUGAUGAUCUCCUAUUGUUCCAAUAAGUUUUAAACUGCUAUCUAUGGGAUUCCUGGUAUCCUAAAAUCUGGUCUGUCCAUUGGACUAUUCCAUGUGAGCGACAUGUUUAUGCUCUACUAAAUGUAAGUAGGUUAUCUGUAUUUAUAAUACUUUAACAUACUACGCUAUGUGUUUCCCUCUUUCUCUAUACAUUUGCAUAUAUUGAUUUAAUGGAUUACUGUAGUCCUCUCCUGAUUGGUCUUCCCAAAAGCCAUAUUGCCCCGCUACAGUCUGUAAUGAAUGCUGCAGCUAGAUUGAUUUUCUUCUCUAGUCGGUCCUCUCACACCUCACCCCUCUGCCAGUCCUUACAUUGGCUCCCUGUAUCCUAUAGGAAUUAAUUCAAAGUGCUAACCCAUACAUUUAAAGCACUGAACAAUUCUAGCCCCUCUUAUAUCUCUCACUGAUCCAUAGGUAUGCCCCUCCUCGUUCCCUCCGCUCUGCCCGUGACAUUCUUCUGACUGCUGCUCGUACGGCCAACUCACGCUUGCAGGACCUCCCACGGGCGGCUCCUUUCCUAUGGAAUAGCUUGCCUACUGCCAUCAGACUCUCCCCGAGUCUUCAAUCAUUUAAGAAGGGCUUUAAAACCCAUCUCUUCAGGAAAGCUUAUGGCCUCCCAGAGUAAUCUCUACCUCACAUACCUGAAUCUUGCUCUCUCCUAUAGGACAGUGCUUUACUCUCUCCUCCAGCUCUGCUUCACAUAUGACGUCAUCUUCCGGCAACCAGCCUCACUCUGCGGCGCACGAGGGAU
Molecule: non-coding RNA, 808 nt
Organism: Pelobates cultripes (western spadefoot toad)
Lineage: Eukaryota; Metazoa; Chordata; Amphibia; Anura; Pelobatidae
Source: the annotation of a GenBank genome assembly